Molecule: long non-coding RNA, 3972 nt
Organism: Triticum aestivum (bread wheat)
Lineage: Eukaryota; Viridiplantae; Streptophyta; Magnoliopsida; Poales; Poaceae
Exons: 3
Source: RefSeq, a predicted model, not a curated record
AUGUGCGCUUUGGGCUGUUCGAUAUGCACGCCGCCGCCGCUGCUCGCCCGCCGUUCGUCCCCACGACGGAAGCUUCUAGAACCCCACCAGCCGCCGCGGACGCGCCUCUGCCUGCUCCCGGCGUUCCCCGUUCCCAUCGCGCGUUACGGGCGCCAGCCUCCUACACCGCGACGCACUGCACUGCACUGGCCGUGAGAGACCGGUGGGCCUGGAACUUUGGAUCGCAUUGUGCUGCUGAGUGGUGGCCUAGUCCUGGAGUCGCAGCGGCGAACGGAUUGUAACCAGCUUCUGUGCAUGUAUCAGUGAUCUCCUGGAGUUCUCCAGCAACUGAGCAUCAAACCGAGAGGCAGCAUGGAUGGUAUCUCUCUGCAGAGUUGAAGACAGGAAGAUUAGGUGGAAUAAAACAGUAUAUGACACUCUUGAAAUAAAGCUCUUGCUUCUAUGCAUGUGAACACGUGUGGCCGUACACAUUCAGGUAUAUCUACAUGCAUUUAAUUAGCCAGAGUUUUCAUGUGUAUAUGAACAUGCACCUUAAGCCAUUAGGAGUCCAGAGCCAGGACAUGCUAGUGGCAUAUCUAUAAGCAUGCUGUGAUUUGUUUUUCAGCCUAUCCUGGCCUACAAUCUAUAAGGUGCAUAUGUAUUACGGUACAGACAAGUUCACAUGAUUCUUACUUCCAUUUCCGUUUCUUAUUUCAAUCCUUAUGUAAAGCCAGGCAGGAAUAUCAACAAUCACAGAAUGACAAAACAAAUCAUGAAAGGUAUUUGGAAGAGUACGUACAAAGUUCCUGGUACGGCAACUUCCCUGGACAACCAGGUUUGUCAUGUUACCAAUGAGGUAUGCCGUCAAUCCCAGGUUAAAUAGCAUGAAACAUAUGCAAAAUGACAUUUCUCUUGGAUUCUCCGCAUGUAAAUCGCCAUAACCAGUUGUUGUGAGUGUUGUAAUAGACCAAUAAAUUGCUGUCACAUAUCGAACCCAUAGACUCUCUGAUCUGUAGUUUGGUAUUGCUGCUCCUAUCCAGGUUCUUGAUGGAUCGGGGUAUGUAUCAGCUAUUAAGUAAAUGAAACAUCCUGAACAAUGUAUUGCAAAAAGAGUAACCUGCAAUGCUCAGUCAAACAUGCAGAGCUAUGUUUCAUUCAUCAGGGCAGUAAUACAUCAAUUUGUUUCAUACUUGGAGAGGAGAGGACGCAAACUUACAGAAAUUAGUUUGGUGCACCUUAUCCAGUAGUAGUUCAAUCGGAUAUCCUUUUCAAGCCUAGAGGGGGCGAUUUACCUUAGUAAUUUUCAGUUCUCUUAUUUUCAAGUUUCAAAUAAUAAAAAGACACAUACCUGGCAAAUAAAGCACUGAGGCGUCGGAGACGCCAUAAUCGAAGCAUGUUAAGUGUCCUAUAGGCAAGGCCAUUUCCAUGCUUGUUAAAGAGUAGCCCAAACGGUUGAUAUGGAAUCGUGGAACAGACGUCAAGAAUGAACCAGGAAGAGAGAUAUCUGUGUACAGCCUCAUGUCAGUGUUGUCCAAAUUGGUAGCUUUGCACAUGUGCUUUACCAUUAAGAAUGACAGGCUGAGAAUAGUUGAGGUGCAAGUACCAACCUAGCUGCAAUCCUUUUUGGAUUAUCCACUAGAAGAUAAGACUUGUGAUCGAGAUACGCUAGAAAAAAGGUGAGAAUAAUAUCAAUUGCGAAGAAGCUGUUGACAAUGUUCUCAACUAGGAAAAGCUUCCACGAGAGAUGUCUCAGAAAUGCUAGCUCAAACGGGUAGAUCCAUGCUGAAUAAACAACGAGCACAAGCAAGAACGUUUCCCAGAUCCUGCAGACCCACAAGAGUGGAAGAUUAGACUGUAUUUGUGUACACAUAAUGCGAGAGAAAGUAAAGAUUGCGAUUUUACCUGUAACGGGAAUCGUAGGGAGAAAUGAUGAAUUUUCUCAACUUGAUAGAUUGGUUUGCUCUUGCUCCUAGAGAUGGGAGCAGGUCAUUGUGGAAGAUGUUGCUAAUAUUAUCCAUUGUAGUAUCUAUGAAGAAGCAGGGCGUAUCUUACUGUCGAUCCCAGUUCCUACAGGCUAUUUGGAUUAUUGAAGAGGAUUUUAAUCUUGGCAUGCCUUUGAACCUUCAUGGAUGGUACUAUUCUGUGUUGAAGUAUUGGUUGUCAGAAUAAAUAAGAGUUUGGCUUGGCUCCAAGAAAGAAGAGGAUGGAGGAAGGAACGGAAGUGAGAUCCUUGAUGUGGCCAUUAAAAGAUAGUGACCUUUUAUUUGUUCUUUUUUGUUUCUACCUGAAAAUAAGCAAACAAGUGGUCUGAGUUCACUGUUCAUGGUUAUGGUAGGUUCGCUAUUAAGGGCUGUAACUGUUUUGGUGUACCAUUACCGAGUGUGGUCAGGGUUUAGGAGACGAUGUUUGCAGUCCUUUGGGAAGUAUUUCUUUUUAGAUUUGACAGACAAAUUGCAGAAUUAUAGGCAUAAUCAAUUAGAAGUUAAAAAUUUGGAAGUUCAUAUGAUGAAAUAUCAUUUUCUGUAAUUCACCCAUUAACUUUGUCUGUAGGGCGGGACUCCAUAGUAGUGAAGUGAAACUUUAGUCCGUAAAAAGAAUACGCUUUGCUGCCUGCGUAAAGUCAUGAUAUAUGCUACUCCCUCCGAUCCAAUUAAUUGACUCAACCUCUAUACAAUGUCUUACUAAAAUUGUAUAGGGAUUGCAUCAUUUAAUUCGGAACAGAGGGAGUACUAAUCUUGCCGUGAAGUUAAUUGGAAGCAUUUUACUGGCCUCUGAAAUGAAAAACUGGAUAUAACAUUCUAGUUGAAGAUAAAGCAUUGUUAUGAUUAAUUUCUCGCAAGGGUCCUGGGCUAAUUGGAAAAUUAAAAUCUUGCCCCGCCGCAAAGAUUAGUUUACACUAUGAGAAUAGGGGAUUUAAUAAUACUUCUCUUUGGCUGCUUAGCUAACCAGAAAUGUUUCCAUUUGCUUUUAUUUUGUGAUGCUGUCGAAGUAACAACAUGAAGUGAGCUUAAAUGCUGUUACAGCUCUUAGCAUCCUUUCCCAUGCUCUGCAUGUUAGGAGUUAUGUUGUAUACUUCUGGUCAGUAGAUAGGUCUAUUCAAUAUGCCUGGGACCAUUUUUUGGAAAUAAUAAAGGCCAGUCACCACUAUCAUUACUUUCUGAUCCUUGAGCAAUCUAAUAAUGUGUGAGACAUUAAACAUUUUUUCUCGUUGACCACAGGUAAAGAACCUUGUGUUAUUUGGGUCGUUUCAUAUUUCAUAUAUCCACUCUUCUGAAAAUCAAAAUAAUAAGAAUAUACUCCAUGGUUGUAGAUGUUUCAUGCACCUUGCGACGCACAGCUGUUACUGGAAACUUUCAACCACUUGAAAUUGACCAUGUCUUGCUUAUUUGCCUUGGCGGGUUUGCUGGGAGUAUCAAGAAAGAAAUAGCCUGCUUUCUGGAGCCUGUGAGCAAAUGUGCAAGUUGCAUGGCUUGAGCUUAGCCUGCCUCACAAAGUCACAAUCCACUGACUUCCAUCACGGGCUUCCUGGGAGCUUUGCAUCUUGCUGACACCUGUGCCCGACACUUUUCAACUUUCAUCACGUGUGGCUAUUUGAUGAUCACCUUUCUUUCUUAUGUCAUCCUCAGGUUUUGCUAACAUGUGAACUUGCGUUUUUAUAUAGAUCGGCAUCUGGAAAUGAUUUGGUUUUCGUUUACUUCCAUGCACAGAAAUGCCAGUUCGUGGGGAAUGGAGAUGAUUCUGGGAUCUACCCGCCCCAUUUUUGCGCAGAGUCGUGGCUUCCAUGUUAACCAGCAGGACCCCUAUGUGUGUGACAAAUUUAUGAACUAGUGACCGGCUGGGUUAGGUUUCAGCUUGUAGAUUUUGCGUGUGAUUAAGGUUUUGCCGUUUUGGAAAUGGAAACCGAUGUAACUAGUUACUGGCAAGACUGCAGUGGAUUAUCUCUUGAAAAGACGUAACGAUCAGGUUUUGACUGAGUUGAUCCUGAUCUAUUUA